CCAGGUGAUGGUUUUCUGAGGCCUAAGGAAUUCCAUAGACAGAGGUUUCGGACCAGCCACAAGGGUCCACGGAAGACAUCCCCCGGGGACUGUGGGAGCUCUGCUACCGGCCAGAGUUCACUUUCAUCCCAGCACUUUCAUCUACUGCUGUGUAGAACCGGAAGUUUAACAGGGACAUGGCAACAAAAAGGUUUUGAAUAUCUGGGUGAGAAAGAACAGCUUCUCAAGUAAAAUGCUGACUGAGGAGACUGUCCGUUCACAUUUCCAAACUUUGCAGAAGUGAAACGUCCUCUCAAAUGCUCACUUUGAAAAGGGGGACAGUACCCAGACGAGACUCUCCCCAGAUACAAUAAGUGCAAGAUGCUAUCGUGCUGAAAUUAACCUACUGGCUAGGGUGUUUCCACCAACUGGGAUUAAAGUCACAGGCAAUGGAUUCUUGAUAUUGACCAACUGGCAUCUUGGUGAGGACGUAAUCUCUGCAACAGACUUUUGCCAAGUAUUGAUUCUAGGUAUGCAAUCGUGUUUGAGAUCUUACUAGGAAUUGGCUUGCUUUCUGAAUAUGACUCUUUAGGAAACGAAAAGAAGGGUACAUCACAGCCUUGGCUGGUGAUAUUUUUAAAUUUGGAGGCCCUGAAGGGGACUGCUUUUAUUCCAGUGAGAUACAAUUUAUGUUGUAGUUGCCAAAAGAUCUCUCUGAUUCUUAGGCAUUGCAAUCAAUCCAUCCAGCCGGCAUAGAGCAAAAUAAGCAGAGAACGUGAUUUUGGGGCCUUUAAUUUCUCUGCAUUUUAACCCAUAAAAACAAGUGCUGGGGAUCACUGGGCCUUGGGCAUGUGAGGCAAGACCACUGGUUCUAUCCCAGGUCUUUUUUAUGGAGCUCAGGUUCAUCACAGACUUGUGGGUCUUGGCCCACUGAAUCUCAACAGACCACCGGGGAUCCCUCCACCAAGAUGAAGCCAGAGUGGCACUGACAUCUUGGACAGACCAGCCUGCUUGGAAACCUACCUAGCCUAGCUCUGGGCUCCUUCUUCUCACCCACAAAUAUUAAUGACUUCUUUAUGUAAAAGGAACGGCUGUAUCUUUUCUGCCAACCUACUUCCAUUUGGCUUGAGGGCCUGUGGAAGAGCAGCUUGACUGCUCUGAGGUUGUUCCUACCCUUCAUGGGCUGUGCGAUGGGGAACAAGCCUAUUUGAUGUGGUUCUUCCCUCCUCAGCUUUUGGCCUACCUGUCAAUCAUCCAGACACACCUAGAGCUUUGGUAAUCUGCUAGGCGUUCUUACCCAAGUCAAAUUGACGCAUCACAAUUAGUGAUCACCACAUGGCCCCUGGAUCUGGUUCCAGGCAAAAGAAGUACAGUAGUAGAAGCAGCUCUAGGGAUGGCAGCAGACUUCAUGAUGGCCCCUGGCUAGGUUUCCGGAGGAUGUGACGUUGAUACCAGCAGGGUUUUCAGGCUGCAGUGGCAUGAGUGGCCAGUGGACUUCCCAGGUCUUCUUCAGAUUCAAGAUGCAGACGUCAGCAUUUCCCUUUGUAGAGAUACUGUUCCAUCGGGAAGUCAAGGUUGAUGCCACCAGAGUGGGUUUGUUUUCCUUCAUUCUUCUCCUUUAUCAAGAACUCUGAACAUUGUGGAAAUUUCCCCUUAACGUACAACAAGAAUCCAGAACAAUCCCAUAUAGAGCCCUCUCUGGGCAAAGGAAAUGACUUAUUUUACUUAACUAAUUUUCUUUCCUUCUUUCUUUCUUUCUUUCUUUCUUUCUUUCUUUCUUUCUUUCUUUCUUUCUUUCUUUCUUUCUUUCUUUCUUUCUUUCCUCUCUCUUUUCCUUCCUCCAUCCUUCCUUCUUUCCUCUCCUUUUCUCUUUUCCCUUUUGUCUCUUUCCUUUCUCUCUCGGUCUCUCUCUCCUUUGUGUGUGUACUGGGAAUUUAACCCAGGGCCUUUGCACUGAGCUACCUCCCCAACCCUUUUUAAAAAAUGUCUUUAUUUUAAAGCACAAUCUCACUAGGUUGCUCAGGCUGGCCUCAAAGUCCAAGGCACAAGCGAUCCUUCAGUCUCAGCCUCCUGAGUGGCUGGAACUACAGGUGCCUGCCACUGUGCCCUACUUUUAAUUAACCUUCUACUGAAAAAUAAAGCAGAUUCGGAAAACCGUAUAAAACAAAUUAUUGUAAAGAGAACCUCUUUGUAAUUACCACCCAGGUCAAGAAAUAAAAUCAUCAGUCCCUUUGUGUCACCUCUGACCUCAGCCUUCUUCCAUCUACUAAGAGUUAC
This 2256-nucleotide long non-coding RNA is filed under the name Heterocephalus glaber (naked mole-rat). Its description in RNAcentral is "lncRNA (ENSHGLG00000035974.1)". The record is from RNAcentral. Lineage: Eukaryota; Metazoa; Chordata; Mammalia; Rodentia; Bathyergidae.